Molecule: long non-coding RNA, 500 nt
Organism: Gambusia affinis (western mosquitofish)
Lineage: Eukaryota; Metazoa; Chordata; Actinopteri; Cyprinodontiformes; Poeciliidae
Exons: 3
Source: RefSeq, a predicted model, not a curated record
CUUGCUGCUCAUGAGUAGAGAAAUGCAACACUAAUGUUUGCUGUUUUACUUUUUUUUUAACUAACUAGGAGGAAGAACACCGGUUUAUUCAGCGCUCCAUCUUACAUGAAGCUGUGAGGGAACGUGAGAAUGUAAAAGGGGCUGAUAUUUAUCUACCACCCCCACCACCAACGUUUUUCCAAAACUUUUCUCAUCCCUGUUCAGGACCUUCGGCUGGAGACGCCGCUUCCUGGCUCUUCAACUGCCGUGGAUGUUGUUGCCACAGAAACAGCACAGUGUUGACAUCACAGUGCUUCAAGUGAUCUGCUGUGGAGACCAAAAAGCCGAAGCCAGAUCACCACCCGACUCCUCGGAGAUUUGCGAGAAGCUGUUGGCCUCCAGCUCUGGACACAAGCUGAAACAUGCAUGAAACACAGAAGAUAAAAAAAAUAAUAAUAAAGCAUACACCCACACACCCACACACACAUAUGCUUACACCCUUGUGUUUUGGAGAGAAGAUA